Pelobates cultripes (western spadefoot toad) is the source of this 244-nucleotide non-coding RNA. Lineage: Eukaryota; Metazoa; Chordata; Amphibia; Anura; Pelobatidae. The record is from the annotation of a GenBank genome assembly.
CCUACCAUUUGCAAAAGUAGACAACCCAAGGUAUUGCAGGUGGGGUUUGUCCAGUGUUUUAUAGUAGUCACUUAGUCACAAACACUGGCCAAAAUUAGCGUUCAUAUUUGUUUUUUGCAUUUUCCACACAAAAACAAAUAUGAAAGCUAAUUUUGGCUAGUGUUUGUGACUAAGUGACUACUAAAAAGGACUGUACAUUCCCCAUAUUGAAUACCCAAGGUUCUCUGCUUUUGCAAAUGGUAUG